Molecule: transfer RNA, 72 nt
Filed under: Megalops atlanticus (tarpon)
Lineage: Eukaryota; Metazoa; Chordata; Actinopteri; Elopiformes; Megalopidae
Rfam family: tRNA
About the family: Transfer RNA (tRNA) molecules are approximately 80 nucleotides in length. Their secondary structure includes four short double-helical elements and three loops (D, anti-codon, and T loops).
Source: Rfam by way of RNAcentral
GGUUCCAUGGUGUAAUGGUCAGCAGUCUGGGCUUUCAAUCCAGUGAUCUGAGUUCAAAUCUCAGUAGAACCU